RNAcentral lists this long non-coding RNA (2447 nucleotides) under Mus musculus (house mouse). RNAcentral describes it as "long non-coding RNA chr7:83633370-83635817". The record is from RNAcentral. Lineage: Eukaryota; Metazoa; Chordata; Mammalia; Rodentia; Muridae.
GCAGACGAGUCCAGCCUUGUCCCUGGCAGGAAACAAUGUGUCUCUGAGAGACUAAGAAACCCUCAGCAGAAUCUACAGACUAUAGCUGAGGAAUUGCAGGGCAAGGCUUGGCCUCCCCAGACAAAGAGGCAGGCCUGGAUUUACACCAACAGAUCUAGUUUGAAGCAUUGUCUCUUAACAGAGCCACUUUGGUCCUUUGCCCACAGCGGGACCACUACAAGUCUCCUUCAGGAAAGCGUUCAUCCUGCAGACCAGCCCUACCCAGCAGAAAGCCUUGGGAUACAGCAACGUUGCUCUGCCAACUGCCUUGUCUAGUGUGGCAGCCUCAAUUCCAUGGGGCCAUAGAGCAUGAAAAGGUGGCUGGUUUGAAGAAAUGAAUUAUUCAUUUUAACAAAUAUAAAUGUAAAUUCAAAUAGCCACGUGAGGUAGGAAGUGUUAUGGGAGACAGCUCCGAUCUUGAUGGACCUGUCCUGGCAUCACCUACAACUGUAAGAUCGUUGCUUCAUUUUUGACUAUAGAAAACUCAGAAGAAUAGAAAAUCACAGUGGAAACAGAUGUGCAAGUAACUCUGGGUGAGCAGACCUAUGUGGUUUGAAUGGCAUCUUAGUGUUGGCUUCUAGGCUCUGUCUGGCGCUAUCAUGUCUGGUGCUUACAUAAGCAGGUUGCAUUGUGAAACCUUGCAGUGUUUUGCAAGCUGUGGAGCCAGGUGUCUUUGCUCCGACCCAGAAUCCUCAUUUCAGUCAGUCUGUUAUCCAUAGGAGUUUAUGUCAGAGACAGAACUGAAACACACGGUGACGAUGAUGCCGUGUUUCAACUCUUCUUUCAGCCCUCUGGUACCAAGAAGAGGAGAGUGAACCUCAGGCACUAAUGUGCCUUGGAUACUAUUUAGCUGUUGCUUUCCCCGUAAGAGAUGAAUCGGCGCCCUGGGCUGGGAAUCUGACUCUAGCAAUUCCGCGUGUAAUUUGAAGUUACCUUUAAUUUAUGACAAGUUGUUCUUUCUUCUUUCUUUCAUUUUUUUCCCCAUUUACAGUUAAAUAACUUCCUUUAUAAAAGCCAGCUGGUCUAAGUGGAAACAUUUGAGAAACCACAAUAAAUUGAUAGGAUUUUCUUAUUCUGGAUUAAGUGAAACCAGCAUCAGAAAAGAAAAAAAUAAACAAUGCAAAGAGUGUAUACAAAUCAUUACGCAUAAAUGGUGAAGUUGAGCAGCCCUUGGUUAAUACCUUUUGUUUUUGUUUUUGUUUUUGUUUUUGUUUGUUUGUUUGUUUUUUCAAGGCAGGAUUUCUCUGUAUAGCCCAGGCUGUCCUGGAACUCACUUUGUAGACCAGGCUGGCCUCGAACACAGAAAUCCGCCUGCCUCUGCCUCCUGAGUGUGGGGAUUAAAGGCAAAGUCUCUUGAUGAGUCUGGAGCUUACAGGUCUAGCCAGCUUACUCCAGCAAUCCCCUGCCUCUGACUCCCUUCUGGGAUUACAGCUGAACUAACACUCCCAACCAGCUUGUGUGUGGGUUCUAGGGAACCUAAGUUCUGCUUCUCACCCUGGCACAGCAAGCACUACCCACUAAGCUGCCCCCAGAGCCCUGCAGGUCAUCUUUUGGAAACUAAAGUGGCUCCACCUCUCUAGCACACUCACCCCUCUUGGUGUCAGCACAGUGGCUGGUGGGACAGAAUGAAAAGCUAGGAAAUCCACAGGCUGACACCUGAGCAGCCAUAACAAUGGCUAACCUGUCAGUGCUUUCAAGGCAGUUACCAGGUGUUCUGUUCCUGGCCACAAGCUCCCUAUCCUGAAACCUGGGGGAAGAAACAGUCUGACAGAGGGAAAGAGAAGCUGCCAAGUGCACAGAGACAAAGAAGCCAGAAGGAAAGUAAUCAUGUUACCUUAAUAAAUUACUCUGAUACCUCAGUCUAGUACUUAAACAAAAGUUCCCCAUUGCUGCGUACCUGUAAUCCCAGCAGCCAUGGAGAUAUGAGGAUCUGGGAGUUGGAGUCAGCCAGACCAUGAACACCAGGCUGGCCAGGGCUGUGUUUUGAUUCAAUAAACAAAGCAAGCCACCAACAGGAAGUACGUUUUUCUUAAUCAGUAUGUAAUUAUUUUUCUUGCACUUUGCUUUAUAUAGCCCACUGAUUUUUUUUUUUUUUAAUUUAAGACAGGGUCUCUUUAUGUAGCCCUGCAUGGCCUGGAACUCAAUAUUAUAGACCAGGCUGAUCCUCCUGCUUCUGCCUUGCAAGUACAAGCUUGCCCCAUUAGGCCUGGCCUUCCAGUCCAUUUUUGCCCCCAUUGGUUUUUUUGGACAUCACCAAAUUUUAUUAGAGAUAUUCUUAUAAGUUAAAAAUACUGUUCUAAUCAUGUACUUCUUUUGAUCACAGGCCUUUUUUUUUUUAAGUACUAGAUUGAGGUAUGAGUGUAAUUUAUUGAGGUAACAUUAGAAAUUUGGAUGAAGAAUGAUUAAAC